Molecule: transfer RNA, 76 nt
Filed under: Desulfobacteraceae bacterium
Lineage: Bacteria; Pseudomonadati; Thermodesulfobacteriota; Desulfobacteria; Desulfobacterales; Desulfobacteraceae
Also listed under: 1 other name
Description: tRNA-Gly
Rfam family: tRNA
About the family: Transfer RNA (tRNA) molecules are approximately 80 nucleotides in length.
Source: RNAcentral
GCGGGAAUAGCUCAGAUGGUAGAGCACCACGUUGCCAACGUGGUGGUCGCGGGUUCGAGUCCCGUUUCCCGCUCCA